This 1157-nucleotide long non-coding RNA is filed under the name Homo sapiens (human). RNAcentral's name for it is "HSALNT0341795". Lineage: Eukaryota; Metazoa; Chordata; Mammalia; Primates; Hominidae. The record is from RNAcentral.
AGCAACUGUCCUUUAUGGCCUCCAGCAGACAAUCCAGCAAACCAAGCUGCAUCUGCAGUGGAGAGAAAAAUACAGUGGAAUUUGCUCUGCACUCUCAGAAUAUGAAUGAUGAGCCUCCUGUAUGCAAUCCACCACAUUUGGAAACUCAAAUUUAUUCCACUGUUGAGUCCUUUCAUUCAGCUCAACUGUUUAGCAAAGAUUCUCCACAGGAACAUCUGAGCUAUUCAAUUGUAGGAGUUCUGAAGUCCGGGAAGUCCAAGAUCAAAGCAGCAGCAUGAGCUGAAGUCCUUCUAGCUGCACUCUCACAGAGUGGAAGAUAGAAGAGCAAGAAAAGAACUUUGUGUCCUCCCAUGGCAGAAAAACAGAAGAGAGAAAACCCACUUUCACAAGCUCUUUUUGAGAUAGGAAUAGCACUGGAUAGUCUCAGGAGGAUGGAAAAACCCAAACAACAGCAAAAACAAGAAAAAGACAGAGAAACCACAGGAUUACAGAAAACCCAAAGUAGGAGAGAGAAAACAGCUAAUAACACAGUCAGGGUGACAUGUGCAGGACUCUUCCAAGCAAACCCAAAUAAGGGAGAAAGGAGUCGGUAACCAGGGGUCCUUGAAAUCCCCUUUUUCCAAAAUACCUAAUGAUUAUUCUACCCCCAAAUUAAAGAAACACCCAUAAAGCAGGAAUGCUGGGUGGUCACAGUAGAAGUAGGAAAAUACCAGGCAGCAAUUUCACCUAGCAGCAAGACAGGAGCUAUUAAAAUUAGCUAUAAGGGCAAGGAUGGGCCUGGGCUGAUAAGACCCUAACAAACAGGAUAGGGGCUAAGCAGCUGAGGCUGGCUGGGUCCAAUGUGGCAUUGGAUUUGACCAAUGUCCUACCCCAAACCUAACUGUAGACUAAUUACCAUACUAAAUCACUCACCUACCAAUACCAUGACAGAUCCGAGCCUAUCCAUAUUUAGUAUAAAAAUGGGUGGCACCCAAAUUCUAAAAAUUCUCUACCCUUUUCCUGGAAAAGCUCAUGAUUAUUCUGUCCCCUAAUUAAAAGAGCCCAUAAAAUUAGAAACUCAAACUCCAUUGAGCACAACUCGUUCUCACGAACAUGUGCACACUUCUCUCUUAACUGUAUACUUUCACUUUGCAAUAAAAGCUUCUUGCCUUUUGCUU